AUUGAACGCUGGCGGCAGGCUUAACACAUGCAAGUCGAGCGGGGUGAUGGUGCUUGCACUAUCACUUAGCGGCGGACGGGUGAGUAAUGCUUAGGAAUCUGCCUAUUAGUGGGGGACAACAUCUCGAAAGGGAUGCUAAUACCGCAUACGUCCUACGGGAGAAAGCAGGGGAUCUUCGGACCUUGCGCUAAUAGAUGAGCCUAAGUCGGAUUAGCUAGUUGGUGGGGUAAAGGCCUACCAAGGCGACGAUCUGUAGCGGGUCUGAGAGGAUGAUCCGCCACACUGGGACUGAGAUACGGCCCAGACUCCUACGGGAGGCAGCAGUGGGGAAUAUUGGACAAUGGGGGGAACCCUGAUCCAGCCAUGCUGCGUGUGUGAAGAAGGCCUUAUGGUUGUAAAGCACUUUAAGCGAGGAGGAGGCUACUUUAGUUAAUACCUAGAGAUAGUGGACGUUACUCGCAGAAUAAGCACCGGCUAACUCUGUGCCAGCCGCCGCAGUAA
RNAcentral lists this ribosomal RNA (501 nucleotides) under uncultured bacterium. RNAcentral describes it as "partial 16S ribosomal RNA". It matches the Rfam family "Bacterial small subunit ribosomal RNA", at positions 30 to 523 of the family's 1533-position model. The record is from RNAcentral.